AAAAGGAAUGUCGAAGCUUCUAUAAAUUAAGUAACAAUCAAGCAAGAAUACCAAAGUAAGCAAAACACACAAAAAAGAGCAAAACAAAACGAAAAAGAAAAAAAGAUUACCGCAAUGUGAUGUUUAGCAAAGGAAUUCGGAAGAAAAAUGUUGUUAGGGGCCUCGAAGUUAAGUUAUCAAUUGAUGAAAAUUGAGAAAAAAACACGAGAAGGAAGAAAGAAGAGAGAAAAAUCAAGAAAAUGCGCGAAAAAAAUGAAACCGGGUAUUUUAAAAAGUGACCUGUCGCUCGAGCGAGGAUCUAGCGAGACUCGGGCGACAAGCAAACUGUUUUUAUCGCUCGAGCGAAGACCAGGCGAAACCCGAGCGAAACACCAAAUGUCAAAAAUAGCACUAAAAAUUUGAAUUUUGAGAAAAAUAACAUAAUCUUAAAGAAAUGACGAAAUUAGCC
This 448-nucleotide long non-coding RNA is filed under the name Olea europaea (common olive). Its description in RNAcentral is "long non-coding RNA (OEUR_LNC004965)". Lineage: Eukaryota; Viridiplantae; Streptophyta; Magnoliopsida; Lamiales; Oleaceae. The record is from RNAcentral.